UCAUGUAAUCAGUUACAUAAUAAGUAAAUAAAAUACAUAGUUGUAUAGUGACAUUUAGAAAAGUGUUAACUUUCAGCGAAAUGUAGUCCACAACUAAUAGUAUCGAUAUUGUCAUUUUUAAUACCCAUACAAUCAAUAGGUGUGAAGUUUUUAUACAAAAUGUUUUAAUAUAAUUAAAACUAAAACUGCUUAAUAUAAAUUGUUUUUGUUUUGUAAAACGAGAGACUUUUGUACUUUAUUCAACAAAAUUUCUCCUACAAAAACAGCCAUGCAAUUUGGAUAGACUGUUAAAUCCAAUUUGAUUGCGCAUAUAGUCUUUCUUGUUGCUUUUUCCCUUUUUCUUCCGGAUGUUAUUCUAUCAAAUGUCUAUAGUGUUGUAAUCAUUUUUUUACGAGUACAAGAUCCUCUCCGCAUCCAAAAAAAGGGAGCUUAGGUACCGUUUGAUACGUGGAACG
Molecule: long non-coding RNA, 455 nt
Filed under: Malus domestica (apple)
Lineage: Eukaryota; Viridiplantae; Streptophyta; Magnoliopsida; Rosales; Rosaceae
Description: long non-coding RNA (MDOM_LNC000854)
Source: RNAcentral